GGGGUUGUGGCUCAGCCGUUGAGUGCUCGCCUCACACGUGAAAGACCCUGGGUUCGAUCCUCAGCACCGCA
RNAcentral lists this transfer RNA (71 nucleotides) under Marmota monax (woodchuck). Its description in RNAcentral is "tRNA.Val". It matches the Rfam family "tRNA". From Rfam's summary of the family: Transfer RNA (tRNA) molecules are approximately 80 nucleotides in length. Their secondary structure includes four short double-helical elements and three loops (D, anti-codon, and T loops). Lineage: Eukaryota; Metazoa; Chordata; Mammalia; Rodentia; Sciuridae. The record is from RNAcentral.